GCAUGGCCGAAUUCUGUUCCAGCUGGUCAGUGGUGGAUACAGUCAGACACCAUGCAAAAGCCUCGUCUCAUUUCUCCUAAAUGACCGGAUGAGUGUCUCCCUCAGCCUCAUCCAGCUGAAUAGGAAUGAGUACAGUG
Acanthochromis polyacanthus (spiny chromis) is the source of this 137-nucleotide small nucleolar RNA. Lineage: Eukaryota; Metazoa; Chordata; Actinopteri; Pomacentridae. The record is from Ensembl.